RNAcentral lists this RNase P RNA (343 nucleotides) under uncultured Lachnoclostridium sp. RNAcentral describes it as "Bacterial RNase P class A". It matches the Rfam family "Bacterial RNase P class A". From Rfam's summary of the family: Ribonuclease P (RNase P) is a ubiquitous endoribonuclease, found in archaea, bacteria and eukarya as well as chloroplasts and mitochondria. Lineage: Bacteria; Bacillati; Bacillota; Clostridia; Lachnospirales; Lachnospiraceae. The record is from RNAcentral.
AGUAAGACAGAUGGUCGCUGCUGCAGAAACGAAAGGCUGCAGGGGAGGAAAGUCCGGGCUUCACAGGGCAGGAUGCCAGAUAACGUCUGGUGGAGGCGACUCCAAGGACAGUGCAACAGAAAUAAACCGCAGGAACCAUUUCCUGUAAGGGUGGAAAGGCAGUGUAAGAGACUACCGCCUUCCUGGUAACAGGGAGGGCACAUGUAAACCCCAUCCGAAGCAAGGCCGAACAGGGAGCAUGGGCGGCCCGUCCGCUUCCGGGUAGGCCGCUGGAACUUGGCGGUGACGCCAGGUCUAGAUAGAUGACCAUCCAACGACAUAACCCGGCUUAUCGUUUUGCUCA